GGCCCCAUCGUCUAGCGGUCAGGACAUCGGCCUCUCACGCCGGUAACGCGAGUUCGAUUCUCGCUGGGGUCA
This 72-nucleotide transfer RNA is filed under the name Deltaproteobacteria bacterium. Its description in RNAcentral is "tRNA-Glu". It matches the Rfam family "tRNA". Rfam says of the family: Transfer RNA (tRNA) molecules are approximately 80 nucleotides in length. Their secondary structure includes four short double-helical elements and three loops (D, anti-codon, and T loops). RNAcentral also lists the same sequence under 1 other name. Lineage: Bacteria; Pseudomonadati; Myxococcota; Myxococcia. The record is from RNAcentral.